AUUUUAAUAAUUAAACUCUUUAAAAUAUUUACAUUGAAGAUGUAAUUUUAAUUGGAGUA
RNAcentral lists this transfer RNA (59 nucleotides) under Tetranychus urticae (two-spotted spider mite). RNAcentral's name for it is "tRNA-Phe". The record is from RNAcentral. Lineage: Eukaryota; Metazoa; Arthropoda; Arachnida; Trombidiformes; Tetranychidae.